This 397-nucleotide ribosomal RNA is filed under the name uncultured bacterium. Its description in RNAcentral is "partial 16S ribosomal RNA". It matches the Rfam family "Bacterial small subunit ribosomal RNA", at positions 523 to 918 of the family's 1533-position model. The record is from RNAcentral.
AUACGUAGGUGGCAAGCGUUGUCCGGAAUUAUUGGGCGUAAAGCGCGCGCAGGCGGUCCUUUAAGUCUGAUGUGAAAGCCCACGGCUCAACCGUGGAGGGUCAUUGGAAACUGGGGGACUUGAGUGCAGAAGAGGAAAGUGGAAUUCCAAGUGUAGCGGUGAAAUGCGUAGAGAUUUGGAGGAACACCAGUGGCGAAGGCGACUUUCUGGUCUGUAACGGACGCUGAGGCGCGAAAGCGUGGGGAGCAAACAGGAUUAGAUACCCUGGUAGUCCACGCCGUAAACGAUGAGUGCUAAGUGUUGGGGGGUUUCCGCCCCUCAGUGCUGCAGCUAACGCAUUAAGCACUCCGCCUGGGGAGUACGGUCGCAAGACUGAAACUCAAAUGAAUUGACGGGG